This 666-nucleotide ribosomal RNA is filed under the name Triticum aestivum (bread wheat). Its description in RNAcentral is "partial small subunit ribosomal RNA". Lineage: Eukaryota; Viridiplantae; Streptophyta; Magnoliopsida; Poales; Poaceae. The record is from RNAcentral.
AUGGAAGCAGCGGCUGCCGGCGCCGGCGGGCUGGAGGUGGUGGUGUUCCGGUGGCUGGCGUUCGGCCACAUGAUCCCCUUCCUGGAGCUCUCCAAGCGCCUCGCGGCCAGGGGCCACACCGUGGCCUUCGUGUCCACGCCCUGGAAUCUCGCCAGGCUCCCGCCCGUGCCGGCCGGCCUGUCCUCCCGCCUCCGGUUCGUGCCGCUGCCGCUACCAGCCGUGGAGGGACUGCCGGAGGGCGCCGAGGCCACAUCUGACCUGCCGCCCGACAAGGUCGGGCUCCUCAAGCAGGCCAUGGACGGCCUCGCCGACCCACUCGCGGCAUUCCUCGCCGCCGGAAGGAGGCCCGACUGGAUCAUCCACGACUUCUGCCACCACUGGGUACUGCCCAUCGCCGGCCAGCUCAAGGUGGCAUCCGCGACGUUCCUCAUCUUCCAGGCGGCCUUGUUGGUCUUCGUGGGGCCGCGGUGGGCAAACCCCGCACACCCGCGCACGGAGCCGGAGCACUUCCCCGAGCCACCCAGGUGGAUUCCCUUCCCGUCCACCACCUUCUUCCACCGCCAUGAAGCCCAGUGGAUCACCGAUAGGGGCGGAGCCAGAAAAUUUGGCCAUUGGGUUCCCUCAUUCACUCUUUACGAGAACUUGAUACUAAUCUAUGAAGAUUAA